This 2373-nucleotide ribosomal RNA is filed under the name Ceramothamnion japonicum. RNAcentral describes it as "Ceramium japonicum large subunit ribosomal RNA". It matches the Rfam family "Bacterial large subunit ribosomal RNA". Lineage: Eukaryota; Rhodophyta; Florideophyceae; Ceramiales; Ceramiaceae. The record is from RNAcentral.
AUAGUAAUUUAAAAAGCAUUUAAUAGUAUCUUGGUAAUUUUUUAAAGGGCAUUAAAUUGAAAAUUAUAUGUAAGUUAUACUUGAAAUAUAUAAAUUUCCUAAAAAUUUGAGAAAACUCUAAAAUUUUUAAAGUGAAGUGAACCAUCUCAGUAACUAAGAUUUUAAUCAACCGAGUAAAAAGGAAAGUAAUGGCGAAUGAACUCUUUUAACAUUAAACAAAUAAAUAGUUAUUAACUAAAAGUAAUAUGAAAUUUUGUAUGAAUAAUGGAGUACCACCUUCUAAAGUAAAUUAAAAAUUUAACCGAUAGUGAACAAGUACUGUGAAGGAAAGAUAUGUAUUUUGAAUAAAAAUAAAAAAAUUGAAUGCUCUUACUUUUUGAAGUUAAAACAACAAAUUUCUUUUUGCAUAACGAACCAGUAAGUUAAUAAAUAAAGUAAGUUUUCUAAGUAAAAGUUUUAUUUAUUAAACCUGAAACCAAGUGAUCUACUUAUAAGCAAGUUGAUGUUUUUAUAAAAAAUUUCUGAAGACUAAAUUCGUAAAUGUGGCAAAAUUUUGAAGAGACUUAUAAGUUGGAGUGAAAGGCUAAUCAAACUUGGUUAUAGCCGGUUUUUCACGAAAUGUAUUUUAGUACUACGCUAUUUAAUUAAUAAGUUAGGUAAAGUACUUAAUAAAUAAAGGGAAGUAAUAUUUUACUGAAUUUAUUUUAACUUAGAAUUAACUUAUUAAUUUUUAGCAGUCAGUUUUUAGGCGAAAAGGUUUAAAAACAAAAGGACAACAAUCCAGAUCAAAUAUUAAGGUUUUUAAUUAAUUUUUAGAGACAAAUUUUUUUGAAAGUCAAAUAGUGUAAUAGGCUUAGAAGCAGCCUUUUUUUAGAAAGUGCGUUAUAGCUUACUAUUAAUAUUUUAAAAAAAUAAAAUUUAAGGAAACUAAAAAAUUAAACCGAAAUUUUGAAUUAAAUUUAAUGGUAGUGAAACAUUUUAUAAUAACGUUUAAACAAUUGCAAAAUUAAUUAAAUAAAAGAGCUAAUGCUGGUAUGAGUAACGAAAACUUUGUUUAAAAUCAAAGUCGUUUUAGUUAAGGUUUUUAAUGUAAUUUCAACUACAUUAAGUUAGUCGGUCUUUAAAAGAUAAGAAAAUUCUAAACUUGAUAAGUAAAUUUAGUACUAUUUAUAUGUAUUAAUAAUAUGAAAAAAGUUUAACAGCUUUCAGGAAAAAAUUAUAAUAUAAAACCGUACUUAAACCGACACAGGUAUGAAAGACGAAUGAAUAAAUUAUAGUAAAGGAACUAGGCAACUUAUUUCUGUACGUUCGCAAAAAAGAAAAUCAUUUUGAUACAAAAAAGAAAAGCAACGACUGUUUACCAAAAACACAGAACUCUGCAAAUUUUUUAAGAAGUAUAGAGUUUGAAACCUGCCCAGUGCUUAAAAAUGAAAAAAUUAAAAUAUUUGUUUUAAUUAUAAGUUUAAGUAAACGGCGGUUCUAACUAUAAGAAUCCUUAGGUAGCGAAAUUCCUUGGCGGGUAAAUUCCGUCCUGCAUGAAUGGUUUAACGAUUGCUUUACUGUCUCUACUAUAACUUCAGUGAAAUUACAAUAUCCAUGAAAAUGUGGAUUACUUACAAUAAGACGGAAAGACCCUAGAUCCUUUACUUUUAUUUUACAUUGUACUAAAACCUAAAAUAAAAUAGAAAAAAUGGGAGUAAUUACAUUCAAUGAAAUACCAUUUAUUUUUAUGUUUUUUACUUAAUAAAGUUUUAAUUUACUUUAUGAUAGUGUAAAAAAGAAAGUUUACUUGGGAUGAGUACCUCCUAAAAAGUAACGGAGGUGUACUAAGGUAAAAAUAUAGUGUAAUAGCAAUUUUACUUAACAAUAAGAUUUAUAAAUCAAAUUGAGAUUUUGUCAGUUAUAGUGAUCCAAUAUAAUGUGUGGAAGUUAUAUUGCGCAACAGGUAAAAGGAACUCUAGGGAUAACAGAUUCAUCGUGAUUGAAAGUUCGUAUUGAAGUCACGGUUUGAGACCUCGAUGUCGACUCAUCUUAUCCUGAAAUAGAAAAAUAUUUCAAGGGUCUAGUUGUUCGCUAGUUAAAAAGGUACGUGAGUUGGGUUCAGAACGUCGUGAGACAGUUCGGUCCCUAUCUAUUGUAAGAAUGAAAAAAGAGUAAAACAAUUUUUAGUACGAGAGGACCAAAAUUAAUUAACCACUAAUACAUUGAUUAUUUUAAAUAUAAAUAUUGUCAAAAUGUUACGUUAAAAAAUUAAAUACUGAAUGCAUAAAAGUAUAAAAUUUUUUACUUUAUUUUUUCAAAAAUUUCUAAACGAAAAUUGAAGAUUGAUCGGUUUAAAAGCUUCUUAGUAAUAACUUUUUUUUAAAUACGAAU